This 212-nucleotide ribosomal RNA is filed under the name uncultured bacterium. RNAcentral describes it as "partial 16S ribosomal RNA". It matches the Rfam family "Bacterial small subunit ribosomal RNA", at positions 1290 to 1500 of the family's 1533-position model. The record is from RNAcentral.
AGUUCGGAUUGUAGUCUGCAACUCGACUACAUGAAGCUGGAAUCGCUAGUAAUCGCGGAUCAGAAUGCCGCGGUGAAUACGUUCCCGGGUCCUUGUACACACCGCCCGUCACACCAUGGGAGUCGGGAAUGCCCGAAGCCAGUGACCCAAGCGAGAGCAGGGAGCUGUCGAAGGCAGGCCGGAUAACUGGGGUGAAGUCGUAACAAGGUAUC